CGACGAUAGUAAAAAAAUUUGUGGUGAUAAAGUCGAACUUGAUAAAAAAUAGCCCUGAUAAAAAUCCCAAAACAAAUGACAUACCAAAUAGUGAGACAGUAAGUGAAAUACCAAAUAAGAACAAAAUAAAACAAAAAAAGAGCUACGAUAAUUAUAUUACGUAUGACGAUUUUGAAAAAAUAGUUGUUAGUAUUAAUGAUAUAAAAAAACAGCUAUUAAGAAUAGAGGAAGGCAUAUCGAAAACACAAAUAAAAUAUACAUUCAAAUCAUUAAGUAUUUUAUGUGAUGAUGGUAAAUAUAGAAUGAAUUUAGAUUGUUAUAAGAGAGCAUUGAAAUGUAAUGAGUUUUUAAAAUUGCUAGGUAUUCACACAGAAGUAGCAGAUAGCUUUAUUCAAAACGACAAUAUAUAUAGAAUAAAAAAAAAUAAAUUUCUGAAAAAUAAAAAAAGUAAAGAUAUGGUAAUAAGUGUUGAUAAACCAGAACAACUUACAUGUAAUACCAAGAAAUUCCAAGAAAAAAGUUGUACCAAUAUAAUCAAAGAUAGUCAUAAUAAAGAUAAUAUAAAAGACAGUAAUAAUAGUUAUUUAAAAAAAAAAAAAAAAAAAAUUAUUAACAAAUGCAACGGAGGUGAUAUCCAUAUAAAUAAUAGUAAAUCGGUAAACGAUUUUACGUUACAUGUGUAUAACGAAAACAAUAAUAAUAUUUAUAUAAAUAGUAAAAAGAUGCACACAUCACUUACUCAUAUAAGUACAAGUAAAUACAAUUACUCAGAUAAAAAACAGAGUAAGCAUAAUGAUACACAUACACAUGGUAACAAUGGACGUAAUAGUAGUCAACAAAGUAGUAAACUUGAAAGAUGGAAUCGGGAAAAUAAUGUAAACGGUCACAUUAAACAAGUUGAAACUUAUUUAAGUUUGAAUAAAACAAAAGAAAGUAAAAUGAAGGAACCUAAAAAUUAUAACAACAAUAAUGUUAGCACAAAUAGUAACAUAAACUUUAAUCCGAAUUGGGAAACAGAAAUAAAAAUAAAAAUAUCGGACGAAUUUAGGACACACUGUGUAUUAAGCAAAUCUGAACCAACCAUAAAUAACAAUAUACAAAAUAAAAAUAUGAAAAUAUUAAAUUUGCAUAUGAUGAAUAAGUAUAAUAAUAUGAAUGAAAAGUUGAAUAAAAAAGAAGAAUCAUUUAAUUUUAGCGAUAAUCUUAGUGAAAAUAGUAAUAAUACCAAUGGCAGUAAUAAAAAUAGUAAACAAAAAAAAUCGACCCAUAACUGUACAAAUAAUAUAACAAAUAGCAACAUGCUAACUAGCCACUCCACCAACACAACUGGCUACGAGAACAAAAACAAUGUAAACAAAUACAACUAUUUGAAACAUUCAAAGUUUUACGAAACUUCGAGUAAUACAAAUAAUGACACGUUUUGUGGCAGUAUUGAAACGGGAGCUGGAGCUGGAGCAGGAGCAGGAGCAGGAAUAGGAGUAGGAGCAGAAACUGGUACUCUUAUUUAUACUGUCUCAGGAACAGGUAUUGAUACACAUACCCCGAUAGUUUAUGACAACCUAAACUUAGUGCAACACAAGAACUGUUUCCUUAAUCCUAGUAGUAGUAAAAUAUAUUUAGAAUACUACUCAGAAGAAGACAUGCUAAGUCAAAAAAAAAAUGUCAUAUGCAAAGAAGCAUUUAAAAAUAAGUUUAAAAAAAAAAUGAACAUACAUGUGAA
This 1720-nucleotide long non-coding RNA is filed under the name Piliocolobus tephrosceles (Ugandan red Colobus). RNAcentral's name for it is "lncRNA (ENSPTEG00000013859.1)". Lineage: Eukaryota; Metazoa; Chordata; Mammalia; Primates; Cercopithecidae. The record is from RNAcentral.